This 23-nucleotide non-coding RNA is filed under the name Cricetulus griseus (Chinese hamster). The record is from RNAcentral. Lineage: Eukaryota; Metazoa; Chordata; Mammalia; Rodentia; Cricetidae.
UCCUUGGCUCUGGUUGAUUGUAG